Molecule: ribosomal RNA, 874 nt
Filed under: Escherichia coli
Lineage: Bacteria; Pseudomonadati; Pseudomonadota; Gammaproteobacteria; Enterobacterales; Enterobacteriaceae
Description: partial 23S ribosomal RNA
Rfam family: Bacterial large subunit ribosomal RNA
Source: RNAcentral
GGAAAGGCGCGCGAUACAGGGUGACAGCCCCGUACACAAAAAUGCACAUGCUGUGAGCUCGAUGAGUAGGGCGGGACACGUGGUAUCCUGUCUGAAUAUGGGGGGACCAUCCUCCAAGGCUAAAUACUCCUGACUGACCGAUAGUGAACCAGUACCGUGAGGGAAAGGCGAAAAGAACCCCGGCGAGGGGAGUGAAAAAGAACCUGAAACCGUGUACGUACAAGCAGUGGGAGCACGCUUAGGCGUGUGACUGCGUACCUUUUGUAUAAUGGGUCAGCGACUUAUAUUCUGUAGCAAGGUUAACCGAAUAGGGGAGCCGAAGGGAAACCGAGUCUUAACUGGGCGUUAAGUUGCAGGGUAUAGACCCGAAACCCGGUGAUCUAGCCAUGGGCAGGUUGAAGGUUGGGUAACACUAACUGGAGGACCGAACCGACUAAUGUUGAAAAAUUAGCGGAUGACUUGUGGCUGGGGGUGAAAGGCCAAUCAAACCGGGAGAUAGCUGGUUCUCCCCGAAAGCUAUUUAGGUAGCGCCUCGUGAAUUCAUCUCCGGGGGUAGAGCACUGUUUCGGCAAGGGGGUCAUCCCGACUUACCAACCCGAUGCAAACUGCGAAUACCGGAGAAUGUUAUCACGGGAGACACACGGCGGGUGCUAACGUCCGUCGUGAAGAGGGAAACAACCCAGACCGCCAGCUAAGGUCCCAAAGUCAUGGUUAAGUGGGAAACGAUGUGGGAAGGCCCAGACAGCCAGGAUGUUGGCUUAGAAGCAGCCAUCAUUUAAAGAAAGCGUAAUAGCUCACUGGUCGAGUCGGCCUGCGCGGAAGAUGUAACGGGGCUAAACCAUGCACCGAAGCUGCGGCAGCGACGCUGAUGCGU